CGCUAGUCCGAUGGUAGUGGGUUAUCAGAAUUUAUUAACAUUAGUGUCGCUAAAGUUAGUAUACAACCCCCCACUGCUAAAUUUGGCUAUCUUAA
Molecule: Y RNA, 95 nt
Filed under: Propithecus coquereli (Coquerel's sifaka)
Lineage: Eukaryota; Metazoa; Chordata; Mammalia; Primates; Indriidae
Description: Y RNA (ENSPCOG00000006869.1)
Rfam family: Y RNA
About the family: Y RNAs are components of the Ro ribonucleoprotein particle (Ro RNP), in association with Ro60 and La proteins. The Y RNAs and Ro60 and La proteins are well conserved, but the function of the Ro RNP is not known.
Source: Rfam by way of RNAcentral